UACGUAGGGUGCAAGCGUUGUCCGGAAUUAUUGGGCGUAAAGAGCUCGUAGGCGGUUCCGUAAGUCAGAUGUGAAAACUCAGGGCUCAACCCGGAGACGCCAUCUGAUACUGCGGUGACUGGAGUCUGGUAGGGGAACACGGAAUUCCUGGUGUAGCGGUGAAAUGCGCAGAUAUCAGGAGGAACACCGAUGGCGAAGGCAGUGUUCUGGGCCAGUACUGACGCUGAGGAGCGAAAGCCAGGGGAGCAAACGGG
Molecule: ribosomal RNA, 254 nt
Filed under: uncultured bacterium
Lineage: Bacteria
Description: partial 16S ribosomal RNA
Rfam family: Bacterial small subunit ribosomal RNA
Source: RNAcentral